GAGGGCACGUCUGCCUGGGUGUCACGCAUYGUUGCCCCAAAACCUUGUCGUCCCUUCGGUCAACCGGAGGCGAUGAGGUGCUUGGGCGGAAGUUGGCCUCCCGUGAGCAUUGCCUCGCGGAUGGUCGAAAUUGGAGCCUGUGGGGAGCGACCGCCACGUUCCACGGUGGUUGAGCAGAUGCCUCGAGGCCGACCGUGCACGAGUUGUCCCCACGUCAAAGGCUGCGAGACCCUUGCGAGCAAGAAAGUGCUCCCAACGCGACCCCAGGUCAGGCGGGGCCACCCGCUGAGUUUAAGCAUAUCAAUAAGCGGAGGAAAAGAAACUAACAAGGAUUCCCCU
This 339-nucleotide ribosomal RNA is filed under the name Senna alexandrina (Alexandrian senna). Its description in RNAcentral is "eukaryotic LSU rRNA". The record is from RNAcentral. Lineage: Eukaryota; Viridiplantae; Streptophyta; Magnoliopsida; Fabales; Fabaceae.